CCCCCGAGUGCUCGUGCUUCCGAUCGCCAGCAGCCAGCCCUAGCGCAGUUCCGAUGGCCCGCACGAAGCAGACGGCGAGGAAGUCCACCGGCGGCAAGGCACCGAGGAAGCAGCUGGCGACGAAGGCGCGCGGAAGUCUGCCCCGGCGACCGGCGGAGUGAAGAAGCCCCACCGCUUCCGCCCGGGGACCGUCGCGCUCCGUGAGAUCCGCAAGUACCAGAAGAGCACGGAGCUGCUCAUCCGCAAGCUGCCGUUCCAGCGGCUGGUGCGCGAGAUCGCGCAGGACUUCAAGACCGACCUCCGCUUCCAGAACUCCGCCGUCGCCGCGCUGCAGGAGGCCGCGGAGGCCUACCUCGUCGGGCUCUUCGAGGACACCAACCUCUGCGCCAUCCACGCCAAGCGCGUCACCAUCAUGCCCAAGGACAUCCAGCUUGCCCGCCGCAUCCGUGGGGAGAGGGCGUAGUGUGUGUGUGCGCCUCGUCGCCUGAUCUGGAGUUGUGCAGAGCUAGAUGUUACUUGUUCCUUUUUAGCCCAUGUCCCUUGUCGUUCUGGUGUUCUUGUGUUAUACAGCUUGCCAGUGUCUGAUGUUAUCGGCUCAUUACCAUCAGCAAUGGAAAAUAUCAUUGUCCGUGUCUCCAAGGUUUGUUUA
Oryza brachyantha (malo sina) is the source of this 649-nucleotide RNA transcript. It is a transcript of the gene named histone H3.2-like, with no coding region annotated. The record is from RefSeq and is a predicted model, not a curated record. NCBI's taxonomy places the organism in Eukaryota, Viridiplantae, Streptophyta, Magnoliopsida, Poales, Poaceae. The transcript has a single exon.